RNAcentral lists this ribosomal RNA (284 nucleotides) under uncultured bacterium. RNAcentral's name for it is "partial 16S ribosomal RNA". It matches the Rfam family "Bacterial small subunit ribosomal RNA", at positions 773 to 1060 of the family's 1533-position model. The record is from RNAcentral.
GUGGAUUAGAUACCCGGGUAGUCCGCACCGUAAACGAUGAUUACUCGUUGUUGGCGAUAUGACAGUCAGCGACCAAGCGAAAGCGAUAAGUAAUCCACCUGGGGAGUACGCCGGCAACGGUGAAACUCAAAGGAAUUGACGGGGGCCCGCACAAGCGGAGGAGCAUGUGGUUUAAUUCGAUGAUACGCGAGGAACCUUACCUGGGCUUGAAAGUUAGUGACCGUCUCUGAAAGGAGAUUUUCCGCAAGGACACGAAACUAGGUGCUGCACGGUUGUCGUCAACU